Molecule: long non-coding RNA, 686 nt
Organism: Raphanus sativus (radish)
Lineage: Eukaryota; Viridiplantae; Streptophyta; Magnoliopsida; Brassicales; Brassicaceae
Exons: 4
Source: RefSeq, a predicted model, not a curated record
CCAAUCCCGAUCGAGCUUCAAACUCUUUUAAGACCUGGAGUACACACUGGACAGAUUCAAUAUUCCCUUCGGUAAAGAUUAAGAGAUCAUCAGCAAAUGACAGAUACAUGAACUCAGCCAGUGAAGGAACAUAUCAGGAACACCUAAUCCUUGAAGACAGGAGAAGAGGAAAUCCCCACGACAGUGUAUCGAAAGCUUUUGCUAUAUCAACUUUUAUGGGAACUUAGAAAUCAGAGAGAGGAUUGUGGCAUUCGCUGAGUAUGGCAGGAAACCUGAUCUGAAGAAAUGUGUGAUCGCAGUUACAACAUCUUCACCCACUGAAUCCCAUGCCGCCUUAAAAAAUCCUGAGGUGAUGGAAUCAGUAACAUUUGUGAGCUCUCAGUAGUUGAAACAGCAUGAUUCAGGAGUCCUCGGAACCAUUCAUGAGAGGAGGUGAUGAGUGUAGGCGAGUAGACCGGUCCCAAGACAGAACGGAAGUGAUAGACAGCAAGGAGACUCAUUUCCACAGGGUCUGUUAUCCAAACCCCAGCGUCAUUCAAAAAAGCUCGGAUCGCAUUGUAGCUUGAUCGUACUUGACAAAUCCUGUGGAAGUAAGCAGUAUUAAAGUCUCCUUCCCUCAACCAGUUAAUUCUAGACUUCUGUCUAAAAUAGAGCUCUUCAAUUUCUCUCAAAAAAAUCCACUUUUG